Molecule: ribosomal RNA, 253 nt
Filed under: uncultured bacterium
Lineage: Bacteria
Description: partial 16S ribosomal RNA
Rfam family: Bacterial small subunit ribosomal RNA
Source: RNAcentral
UACGUAGGUGGCAAGCGUUGUCCGGAUUUACUGGGCGUAAAGGGUCUGUAGGUGGCCAACUAAGUCAGACGUGAAAUCCCUCAGCUUAACUGGGGAACUGCGUCUGAUACUGGUUGGCUUGAGUGCAGGAGAGGAAUGCGGAAUUCCAGGUGUAGCGGUGAAAUGCGUAGAUAUCUGGAGGAACACCGGUGGCGAAGGCGGCAUUCUGGACUGCAACUGACACUGAAAGACGAAAGCCAGGGGAGCAAACAGG